This 497-nucleotide ribosomal RNA is filed under the name uncultured bacterium. RNAcentral describes it as "partial 16S ribosomal RNA". It matches the Rfam family "Bacterial small subunit ribosomal RNA", at positions 28 to 507 of the family's 1533-position model. The record is from RNAcentral.
GAUGAACGCUGGCGGCGUGCCUAAUACAUGCAAGUCGAGCGAACGGACGAGAAGCUUGCUUCUCUGAUGUUAGCGGCGGACGGGUGAGUAACACGUGGAUAACCUACCUAUAAGACUGGGAUAACUUCGGGAAACCGGAGCUAAUACCGGAUAAUAUUUUGAACCGCAUGGUUCAAAAGUGAAAGACGGUCUUGCUGUCACUUAUAGAUGGAUCCGCGCUGCAUUAGCUAGUUGGUAAGGUAACGGCUUACCAAGGCAACGAUGCAUAGCCGACCUGAGAGGGUGAUCGGCCACACUGGAACGUGGACACGGUCCAGACUCCUAAGGGAGGCAGCAGUAGGGAAUCGUCCGCAAUGGGCGAAAGCCUGACGGAGCAACGCCGCGUGAGUGAUGAAGGUCUUCGGAGCGUAAAACCCUGUUAUUAGGGAAGAACAUAUGUGUAAGUAACUGUGCACAUCUUGACGGUACCUAAUCAGAAAGCCACGGCUAACUACGUG